Long non-coding RNA from Thalassophryne amazonica, 166 nucleotides. RefSeq lists it as uncharacterized. The record is from RefSeq and is a predicted model, not a curated record. The transcript is spliced from 2 exons. Lineage: Eukaryota; Metazoa; Chordata; Actinopteri; Batrachoidiformes; Batrachoididae.
CCCUCGGCCUGCAGAAAGCUUUGAGGACCUACGCAGGGACACAUUCAUCAUGCUGUGUUACCUCGGGCCUCACCUUUCCCAUGAUCCUAUCCUUUUUGCCAAGAUAGUGCGUCUAGGCAAGGCCUUCAUGAAAGAGUACCAAAGUGAUGCCAGACCUGAUGUCAAA